UAGUUGGUGGAGUGAUUUGUCUGGUUAAUUCCGUUAACGAACGAGACCUCGACCUGCUAAAUAGUUCGGCAAAUUCUUCGGGAUUUGUUCGUUGACUUCUUAGAGGGACUAUCGGUGGGUAGCCGAUGGAAGUUCGAGGCAAUAACAGGU
Molecule: ribosomal RNA, 150 nt
Filed under: Cercozoa sp.
Lineage: Eukaryota; Cercozoa
Description: partial small subunit ribosomal RNA
Rfam family: Eukaryotic small subunit ribosomal RNA
Source: RNAcentral